CGGAUUGAAGGCUGAAAUUCGCCUUCAUGAAGCCGGAAUUGCUAGUAAUGGCAGGUCAGCAUACUGCCGUGAAUACGUUCCCGGGCCUUGUACACACCGCCCGUCACACCAUGAGAGUUGGGAAUACCCGAAGCCUGUGAGCUAACGAAAGAGGCAGCAGUCGAAGGUAGAAUCAAUGAUUGGGGUGAAGUCGUAACAAGGUACC
This 205-nucleotide ribosomal RNA is filed under the name uncultured bacterium. RNAcentral describes it as "partial 16S ribosomal RNA". It matches the Rfam family "Bacterial small subunit ribosomal RNA", at positions 1294 to 1500 of the family's 1533-position model. The record is from RNAcentral.